RNAcentral lists this long non-coding RNA (974 nucleotides) under Mytilus galloprovincialis (Mediterranean mussel). Lineage: Eukaryota; Metazoa; Mollusca; Bivalvia; Mytilida; Mytilidae. The record is from RNAcentral.
GUUUAAUAAAUGAUGAAAACUAUAAUUAAAUGAUAAUUAACCAACCAAGAUGGUUGACAUGGUUAAAAAUAGAACAUAGUUGUAAAAUGUGUAUUUUGGCUUCUAUUACUGAAACCAAAGCAUUUAGAGCAAAUCUGUCAAGAACAAAAUUGUUCAUUAGAUCAAAAUCUAUAUAUCUGCCCUAGAGUUUUCAGAUAAAUCAGACAACCUGUUGUUGGGUUGCUGCCCCUGAAUUAGUAAUUAUUUAGGAAAUUGACUCUUUAAUGAGUUUAAUUGCCCAUUUUAGUCACUUUUUAACAAUUUUCAUAAAUUUUGUAAAUUUUUGUAAAUUUUUACAAAAUUUUUUCCACUGUUACUACUGGGCCAAGUUAAUUAUAGAUAGAGAUAAUUGUUAGCAUCAAGAAUGUUCAGUGAAGUAAGAUCCUACAAACACAUCACCAUCACCAAAACACAAUUUUGUCAUGAAUCCAUCUGUGUCCUUUGUUUGAUUUGCACAUAGACCAAGGUCAGUGACACAGGCUCUUUAUAUCCUCUAGUUAAUUACCCUAGGUCUGCAAAGGCCUGAAUAACAAAUCAAGACUACAGUACACAGAAAAUAUUAAGAUUGAGACACAUGUACACAACCAAAAACUGGGGGUGAGUCUGAAUAACAAAUCAGAAUACAAAACAGUACACAGAAAGUUUAAGACUGAGCCAAAUGUACUGGAACCUGAAUAUCAAACCAGACUAUAAAACCAGACUGCAAAGCAGUACUGUACACAGAAAGUUUAAGAUUGAACCACAUGAAACCAACCAAAAAUACAGGGAGUAAACCUGAAAGACAAACCAGUCUUCAAACACUACACAGAAAAAAUAUUGAAGCCAUAAUGUACUACAUGUAAUACCAACAAAAAAACAGUGAAUGACCAAGAAUAACAACCAUUCUACAAAACAAUUUACACAAAAAGUUUAAGUUUGAGCCACAUGUACCAAAC